This 274-nucleotide ribosomal RNA is filed under the name uncultured bacterium. Its description in RNAcentral is "partial 16S ribosomal RNA". It matches the Rfam family "Bacterial small subunit ribosomal RNA", at positions 523 to 796 of the family's 1533-position model. The record is from RNAcentral.
AUACGGAGGGUGCAAGCGUUGUCCGGAUUUAUUGGGUUUAAAGGGUGUGUAGGCGGUGUAUUAAGUCAGUGGUGAAAGCCUGCGGCUCAACCGUAGAACUGCCAUUGAUACUGACACACUUGAGUUUGGUUGAGGUAGGCGGGAUUUAUGGUGUAGCGGUGAAAUGCAUAGAUACCAUAAAGAACACCGAUAGCGAAGGCAGCUUACUAAGCCGAAACUGACGCUGAGGCACGAAAGCGUGGGGAGCGAACAGGAUUAGAUACCCGGGUAGUCC